AGUCUUUGCCUGGCCGCAGUACGCCUCACAAAGUCUUUGUGUAAUCUCCAGGGUUAGCAGGCCUCAGAUCAAAAUUAGAAGCCUAAAUGGCAAACUAACCAAAUUGGUUUUUUUUUUAUAAAGUAAAAUCUCUCAAUUCACUUUUAAAAUAAACUUAAUCUGGUUUGAAGUGUCCCUAUGACAACCAUCUCAAUACUGAAUUUUAAUUAUAUGAUAGGUAUGUAGCUAAUUACAUCAAAUAAUAGUUAACAGUUAAAUCGAUCUCUGGCUGUAUUUUUAUUUUUAUUUUUUUGAGAGCUUCUCUCUCUGUCAUCCAGGCUGGAGUGCAGUGACAUGAUCUCGGCUCACUGCAACCUCUGACUUCUGGGUUCAGGCAAUUCGCAUGCCUGUAGUUCCAGCUACUCAGAAGGCUGAGGUUGGAGGAUUGCUUGAGCCCAGGAGUUCAAGGCUGCAAUGAGCCGUGAUCAUGCCACUGUACAUCAGCCUGGGCAACAGAGCAGGACCCUGUCUCAUAAAGAAAAAUAACAACAACUACCACAAAAUGAAGAAUUGGCGAAUGUAGUAACUAGAUCCAAGUUCAUGGUUCUUACAGUUACCACUUCACAAGAAAAAGCCUGUAAGAUUUAAAGCUGAGGAUCACAUGGCUAGUAACACUGAAAGAAGCACUAUAGAACAAGGGAGAUGAAGUCAUUCUGAACAUUCAGAUUACUUAUUUUUAACAAACAACUUAAUAUCUCUAUCUUUUAUAUACUUUUCAGAUUAUAAGUGUAAUUAUGCUUUAGAGAUAAAGACAACCAUGCAAAAUCGUCAAAAACACUUCCUUGUAAAAUGAGCCCUUCCUUCAGCUGACAGGGUUGACAGGAGAUCCCAGGUGGGGAAAACACACCAAAAAGAUUCUUAUACUUAGGCUUUGCUCCACUAGGGACAUUCACAAACAAUCUCCAGGACAUAUUGGUUUCCUUGGGACUAAGGUAUUUGUACAAUGUCCAUUUAUAGGGGGUUAAAGUGCCUGUGAUAGUGGUUGAAAGUUUUGACCCACUUUUACAGAUUAAUCAGCAUUGUGGUGGUUACAGAAUUUCCAGAUAAGGCAUGCUUGCUCUUCUCUAGACAAACUCAUCCACGAUAUCUUAGUAACACUGAUUCUGAGUUACCUUUAGUAUUUUAGGUAGAUCCACACAGUGUGAUUGCUAAUGUUAUUUGUACGGAUUUAGGAGCCACCGAGUGGCUAUCAUUGAACUGUCAAAUAAAUCUCAAUACCUAGUUAAAAUUCUUUUACAAGUAACUUUUCAUAAAGAGGAAUAAAUGUUUACAGUAAGGGAGUAUUUUGUUUACUUGGGCAGCUUUCUAUGAAGAGGAGCAUUUCUUGCAAAGCAAUAUGCCUGAGAAUUAACUUUAGAUUUCAUUUCUAUUUCACUGGAGUAGAUAUGUUUAAAUUAACUUAUAAUUUCUUAAGGAGUCAGAUAAAACAUUAAUUUUCUUUUUAAUUUCUAUACUUGCAGCUAAGAGUCGAAAAUGAACCUAAGAGCCCUUCAUUCCAAAAUCAUGCACAAUUUCUAGUGCUUGUCUACUAUCUACAUAAAUGUUCUCUCUCUCAUAUACUCUUCACUUUUUGCCUCAGGCUGGAUUGUGAGUUCCAGUUACAAAAAUUGAUUCAGCAACCCAGGC
This 1665-nucleotide long non-coding RNA is filed under the name Homo sapiens (human). RNAcentral describes it as "HSALNT0327215". Lineage: Eukaryota; Metazoa; Chordata; Mammalia; Primates; Hominidae. The record is from RNAcentral.